RNAcentral lists this ribosomal RNA (988 nucleotides) under uncultured bacterium. RNAcentral's name for it is "bacterial SSU rRNA". It matches the Rfam family "Bacterial small subunit ribosomal RNA", at positions 8 to 1027 of the family's 1533-position model. The record is from RNAcentral.
AGAGUUUGAUCCUGGCUCAGAAUCAACGCUGGCGGCGCGCCUAACACAUGCAAGUCGAACGAGAAAGUGGAGCAAUCCAUGAGUACAGUGGCGUACGGGUGAGUAACACGUGGGUAAUCUACCUCUUAGUGCGGAAUAACCCUGGGAAACCGGGGCUAAUACCGCAUAAGCUCGAGAGAGGAAAGCAGCAAUGCGCUGAGAGAGGAGCCCGCGGCCGAUUAGCUUGUUGGCAGGGUAAAAGCCUACCAAGGCAAAGAUCGGUAGCCGGCCUGAGAGGGCACACGGCCACACUGGCACUGAAACACGGGCCAGACUCCUACGGGAGGCAGCAGUGGGGAAUCUUGCACAAUGGGGGAAACCCUGAUGCAGCGACGCCGCGUGAGCGAUGAAGCCCUUCGGGGUGUAAAGCUCUUUCGGCAGGGAAGAUGAUGACGGUACCUGCAGAAGCAGCUGCGGCUAACUACGUGCCAGCAGCCGCGGUAAUACGUAGGCAGCAAGCGUUGUUCGGAGUUACUGGGCGUAAAGGGUGUGUAGGCGGUUUGGUAAGUCUGGUGUGAAAUCUCCCGGCUCAACUGGGAGGGUGCGCCGGAAACUGCCGGACUCGAGUGCGGGAGAGGAGAGUGGAAUUCCUGGUGUAGCGGUGAAAUGCGUAGAUAUCAGGAGGAACACCGGUGGUGUAGACGGCUCUCUGGACCGUAACUGACGCUGAAACACGAAAGCGUGGGUAGCAAACAGGAUUAGAUACCCUGGUAGUCCACGCCCUAAACGAUGCAUAUUUGGUGUGGGUCAUUCAGUUGAUCCGUGCCGGAGCUAACGCGUUAAAUAUGCCGCCUGGGGAGUACAGUCGCAAGGCUGAAACUCAAAGGAAUUGACGGGGGCCCGCACAAGCGGUGGAGCAUGUGGUUCAAUUCGACGCAACGCGAAGAACCUUACCUGGGCUCGAACGGCUUCUCAACGGCGGUGGAAACCACUGUUACCCCGCAAGAGU